Molecule: ribosomal RNA, 437 nt
Filed under: uncultured Oscillospiraceae bacterium
Lineage: Bacteria; Bacillati; Bacillota; Clostridia; Eubacteriales; Oscillospiraceae
Description: partial 16S ribosomal RNA
Rfam family: Bacterial small subunit ribosomal RNA
Source: RNAcentral
ACGGAAGGCAGCAGUCGGGAAUAUUGCGCAAUGGAGGAAACUCUGACGCAGUGACGCCGCGUGCAGGAAGAAGGUUUUCGGAUUGUAAACUGCUUUAGUCAGGGAAGAAAAAAAUGACAGUACCUGUAGAAUAAGCUCCGGCUAACUACGUGCCAGCAGCCGCGGUAAUACGUAGGGAGCAAGCGUUAUCCGGAUUUAUUGGGUGUAAAGGGUGCGUAGACGGGAAGUUAAGUUAGUUGUGAAAUCCCACGGCUCAACUGUGGAACUGCAACUAAAACUGAAUUUCUUGAGUGCUGGAGAGGAAAGUGGAAUUCCUAGUGUAGCGGUGAAAUGCGUAGAUAUUAGGAGGAACACCAGUGGCGAAGGCGACUUUCUGGACAGAAACUGACGUUGAGGCGCGAAAGUGUGGGGAGCAAACAGGAUUAGAUACCCUGGUA